This 1424-nucleotide ribosomal RNA is filed under the name uncultured organism. Its description in RNAcentral is "SSU rRNA". It matches the Rfam family "Bacterial small subunit ribosomal RNA". The record is from RNAcentral.
CGGCAGGCCUAAUACAUGCAAGUCGAGGGGUAGAGAGAGCUUGCUUUCUUGAGACCGGCGCACGGGUGCGUAACGCGUAUGCAACCUACCUUUAUCUGGGGGAUAGCCCGGAGAAAUCCGGAUUAAUACCGCAUAAAAUCACAGAAUAGCAUUAUUUAAUGAUCAAACAUUUAUGGGAUGAAGAUGGGCAUGCGUGUCAUUAGCUAGUUGGCGGGGUAACGGCCCACCAAGGCGACGAUGACUAGGGGAUCUGAGAGGAUGGCCCCCCACACUGGUACUGAGACACGGACCAGACUCCUACGGGAGGCAGCAGUAAGGAAUAUUGGUCAAUGGAGGCAACUCUGAACCAGCCAUGCCGCGUGCAGGAAGACUGCCCUAUGGGUUGUAAACUGCUUUUAUCCGGGAAUAAACCUUUCUACGUGUAGGAAGCUGAAUGUACCGGAAGAAUAAGGAUCGGCUAACUCCGUGCCAGCAGCCGCGGUAAUACGGAGGAUCCAAGCGUUAUCCGGAUUUAUUGGGUUUAAAGGGUGCGUAGGCGGCCUGUUAAGUCAGGGGUGAAAGACGGUAGCUCAACUAUCGCAGUGCCCUUGAUACUGAUGGGCUUGAAUGGACUAGAGGUAGGCGGAAUGAGACAAGUAGCGGUGAAAUGCAUAGAUAUGUCUCAGAACACCGAUUGCGAAGGCAGCUUACUAUGGUCUUAUUGACGCUGAGGCACGAAAGCGUGGGGAUCAAACAGGAUUAGAUACCCUGGUAGUCCACGCCCUAAACGAUGAACACUCGCUGUUGGCGAUACACAGUCAGCGGCUAAGCGAAAGCGUUAAGUGUUCCACCUGGGGAGUACGCCCGCAAGGGUGAAACUCAAAGGAAUUGACGGGGGCCCGCACAAGCGGAGGAGCAUGUGGUUUAAUUCGAUGAUACGCGAGGAACCUUACCCGGGCUUGAAAGUUAGUGAAUGAUUUAGAGAUAGAUCAGUGAGCAAUCACACGAAACUAGGUGCUGCAUGGCUGUCGUCAGCCCGUGCCGUGAGGUGUUGGGUUAAGUCCCGCAACGAGCGCAACCCCUAUGUUUAGUUGCCAGCAUGUAAUGAUGGGGACUCUAAACAGACUGCCUGUGCAAACAGAGAGGAAGGAGGGGACGACGUCAAGUCAUCAUGGCCCUUACGUCCGGGGCUACACACGUGCUACAAUGGAUGGUACAGAGGGCAGCUAGCUGGCAACAGUAUGCGAAUCUCACAAAGCCAUUCACAGUUCGGAUUGGGGUCUGCAACUCGACCCCAUGAAGUUGGAUUCGCUAGUAAUCGCGUAUCAGCAAUGACGCGGUGAAUACGUUCCCGGGCCUUGUACACACCGCCCGUCAAGCCAUGGAAGUUGGGGGUACCUAAAGUAUGUAACCGCAAGGAGCGUCCUAGGGUAAAACCGAUAACU